ACAUUCGGCCAAAGGUUACAGAUCACAGAGAAUCCCGUCCGCUCUCCUGUAAUUAAGCUGUAGACCGGCUGGUUAGUAUUAAUAUCGGGGACGAGUUGGGAAAACCAGCAUUUGAAUGUG
RNAcentral lists this ribosomal RNA (120 nucleotides) under Hortaea werneckii EXF-2000. The record is from RNAcentral. Lineage: Eukaryota; Fungi; Ascomycota; Dothideomycetes; Mycosphaerellales; Teratosphaeriaceae.